Molecule: long non-coding RNA, 395 nt
Organism: Neopsephotus bourkii (Bourke's parrot)
Lineage: Eukaryota; Metazoa; Chordata; Aves; Psittaciformes; Psittacidae
Exons: 3
Source: RefSeq, a predicted model, not a curated record
CUGCCAGUGUUGUCCGGUUGUUGUUCAGCAGUGACUCUGACCUGCUGGCAGAUGCCUGCUGGGCUCUUUCCUACCUAUCAGAUGGUCCCAACGAGAAAAUCCAAGCAGUUAUUGACUCGGGAGUGUGUCGGCGACUGGUGGAGCUCUUAAUCCACAACGACUACAAAGUGGCCUCUCCAGCUCUGCGAGCAGUGGGUAACAUCGUGACGGGGGAUGACAUCCAGACCCAGGUGAUUUUGAACUGUUCAGCCCUGCCUUGUCUCCUUCACUUAUUAAGUAGUUCCAAGGAAUCACACAGGACAGAAGCCUGCUGGACUAUAUCCAACAUCACAGCAGGAAACAGAGCGCAGAUACAGAUAGGGUCUUCUCCAACCCACCUGCAGUGAAGCUCAAUU